GCGGUGGCCUAAUGGUUAGCGCGUUGGACUCUGGAUCGAGUGGUCCGGGUUCAAGUGCCGGUCGGGGUCA
Molecule: transfer RNA, 70 nt
Filed under: Desmophyllum pertusum
Lineage: Eukaryota; Metazoa; Cnidaria; Anthozoa; Scleractinia; Caryophylliidae
Description: tRNA-Gln
Source: RNAcentral